This 108-nucleotide ribosomal RNA is filed under the name Batcheloromyces leucadendri. Its description in RNAcentral is "partial 28S ribosomal RNA". It matches the Rfam family "Eukaryotic large subunit ribosomal RNA", at positions 1 to 106 of the family's 3401-position model. RNAcentral also lists the same sequence under 8 other names. Lineage: Eukaryota; Fungi; Ascomycota; Dothideomycetes; Mycosphaerellales; Teratosphaeriaceae. The record is from RNAcentral.
GUUGACCUCGGAUCAGGUAGGGAUACCCGCUGAACUUAAGCAUAUCAAUAAGCGGAGGAAAAGAAACCAACAGGGAUUGCCCUAGUAACGGCGAGUGAAGCGGCAACA